AGGCGCGUAGCUCAGUUGGCAGAGCAUCUGACUUUUAAUCAGAGGGUCGCGGGUUCGAGCCCCGCCGCGCCUACCA
Molecule: transfer RNA, 76 nt
Filed under: Alphaproteobacteria bacterium
Lineage: Bacteria; Pseudomonadati; Pseudomonadota; Alphaproteobacteria
Description: tRNA-Lys
Rfam family: tRNA
About the family: Transfer RNA (tRNA) molecules are approximately 80 nucleotides in length. Their secondary structure includes four short double-helical elements and three loops (D, anti-codon, and T loops).
Source: RNAcentral